ACGAACGCUGGCGGCGUGCUUAACACAUGCAAGUCGAACGGAAAGGCCCUGCUUGCAGGGUACUCGAGUGGCGAACGGGUGAGUAACACGUGGGUGAUCUGCCCUGCACUUCGGGAUAAGCCUGGGAAACUGGGUCUAAUACCGGAUAGGAGCCAUUUUUAGUGUGAUGGUUGGAAAGUUUUUUCGGUGUAGGAUGAGCUCGCGGCCUAUCAGCUUGUUGGUGGGGUAAUGGCCUACCAAGGCGGCGACGGGUAGCCGGCCUGAGAGGGUGGACGGCCACAUUGGGACUGAGAUACGGCCCAGACUCCUACGGGAGGCAGCAGUGGGGAAUAUUGUACAAUGGGCGCAAGCCUGAUGCAGCGACGCCGCGUGGGGGAUGACGGCCUUCGGGUUGUAAACUCCUUUCGCUAGGGACGAAGCUUUUUGUGACGGUACCUAGAUAAGAAGCACCGGCUAACUACGUG
Molecule: ribosomal RNA, 464 nt
Filed under: uncultured bacterium
Lineage: Bacteria
Description: partial 16S ribosomal RNA
Rfam family: Bacterial small subunit ribosomal RNA
Source: RNAcentral